This 568-nucleotide ribosomal RNA is filed under the name uncultured bacterium. Its description in RNAcentral is "bacterial SSU rRNA". It matches the Rfam family "Bacterial small subunit ribosomal RNA", at positions 338 to 916 of the family's 1533-position model. The record is from RNAcentral.
CCUACGGGAGGCAGCAGUGGGGAAUAUUGCACAAUGGGCGCAAGCCUGAUGCAGCGACGCCGCGUGAGGGAUGACGGCCUUCGGGUUGUAAACCUCUUUCAGUAGGGAAGAAGCGUAAGUGACGGUACCUGCAGAAGAAGCGCCGGCUAACUACGUGCCAGCAGCCGCGGUAAUACGUAGGGCGCAAGCGUUAUCCGGAAUUAUUGGGCGUAAAGAGCUCGUAGGCGGUUUGUCGCGUCUGCCGUGAAAGUCCGGGGCUCAACUCCGGAUCUGCGGUGGGUACGGGCAGACUAGAGUGAUGUAGGGGAGACUGGAAUUCCUGGUGUAGCGGUGAAAUGCGCAGAUAUCAGGAGGAACACCGAUGGCGAAGGCAGGUCUCUGGGCAUUAACUGACGCUGAGGAGCGAAAGCAUGGGGAGCGAACAGGAUUAGAUACCCUGGUAGUCCAUGCCGUAAACGUUGGGCACUAGGUGUGGGGGACAUUCCACGUUUUCCGCGCCGUAGCUAACGCAUUAAGUGCCCCGCCUGGGGAGUACGGCCGCAAGGCUAAAACUCAAAUGAAUUGACGG